RNAcentral lists this ribosomal RNA (433 nucleotides) under uncultured bacterium. RNAcentral's name for it is "partial 16S ribosomal RNA". It matches the Rfam family "Bacterial small subunit ribosomal RNA", at positions 29 to 507 of the family's 1533-position model. The record is from RNAcentral.
AACGAACGCUGGCGGCAUGCCUAACACAUGCAAGUCGAACGAGACCUCCGGGUCUAGUGGCGCACGGGUGCGUAACGCGUGGGAACCUGCCCUUAGGUGCGGAAUAACUCCCCGAAAGGGGUGCUAAUACCGGAUAAUGUCUUCGGACCAAAGAUUUAUCGCCUUUGGAUGGGCCCGCGUUGGAUUAGCUAGUUGGUAGGGUAAAAGCCUACCAAGGCGACGAUCCAUAGCUGGUCUGAGAGGAUGAUCAGCCACACUGGGACUGAGACACGGCCCAGACUCCUACGGGAGGCAGCAGCGGGGAAUAUUGGACAAUGGGCGAAAUCCUGAUCCAGCAAUGCCGCGUGAGUGAUGAAGGCCUUAGGGUUGUAAAGCUCUUUUACCCGGGAUGAUAAUGACAGUACCGGGAGAAUAAGCUCCGGCUAACUCCGUG